This is a long non-coding RNA of Panicum hallii, 2276 nucleotides long. RefSeq lists it as uncharacterized. NCBI's taxonomy places the organism in Eukaryota, Viridiplantae, Streptophyta, Magnoliopsida, Poales, Poaceae. The record is from RefSeq and is a predicted model, not a curated record. The transcript is spliced from 2 exons.
GACCGAACUACCCUCACUUCUUCCUUCCUCCUCCUUCCUGGUUCCUGCCGCACACGCCUUAUCCAUUUGCUCUACUCUCGCAAAACCUAGAUCGGGCUAGGGGCGGAACAGCACCAGCGGCAGGGUAAAGGGCGACCUAGGCGCGGGCUCGCGCGGGCAUUGGCGCCGGCGCGAGGCGCCCCAGCGCGCAGCCAGGCAGCGGCCGGCGUGAGGCGCCCCCUGCGGCCUGCGUGGCCAGGCGGCAGCACCCCCUGCGCGGCCAACUCCGGUCACUACAGUACUGAGCUCAACAUGGAAGAGGCUAGACCAAACCACAGAGAUUUGCAACUUAUUGUUAGAGUGAGGUUAUUUUUUCAGCUUGCCUGAUGGGGGGCCGAAGACAUGGCUGCAGGGUAGAACAUUGCGAACUCAAAUUGUUCACGCACAUAACUAUGAACUGAUGCAAUUAGUUGAUUUCAUUGCUGAACAUUACAUGUGGGGUUCAAAGCAGCGUAUAAUAUUGUGGCAUGAUUUGGACAUUGAGUCUACUGAGAUAACAUCUGAUGAGCAGCGGCUUGAGUGGUUUCAAGUAAAUCUAGAGAAGGGAGUAGUCCAAAUCAUUGCCAGAUAAAUGAUUUCGAGGGCCUAUUACAGUUUUCACCAACGAAACGUAGGUGUCACCCUUCUUUAAGGAAUAGAGGACCCACAAAUGAGGGAGCCACAAGUGAGAGAACCGUAAAUGUGAGAGCCACAGUGAGUCAGCCACAAAUGUGAGAGCCAAAUCCACAUCUAACAAGAAGAGAACCACAUACGUGAGUGUAGGGAGUUGAUGAGGAGGGCAUUUACUCUGACAAAGAUUCACUUAUGGCACCAAGAGAUAGCAGCUAUGACACUGAUUUGGCUGCAUCUUCAGACUCUGAACUCUGGUGAUGAUUGCUCUAACCCAGAGUUUGAUCCUGAUAGUGAAAUAGUUGAUGACGUUGAUGAGUUUGAUCCUCCCCUUUUCAUAUAAUGUUGAUGAUCCAUGUAUUAAUGUCAAUGUGGUGUUCCUAGAUGUGGAUCAAUGCAAAUCAGCGAUUACCCAUCAUGCCCUGGAGUGCAACACAGAGAGUGCAUGAGGCACUUGUGGAAGAACAUGAAGAAGAAUAUGUGGUGAGCUUUAUGGUAAGAAUACGUGGUGUGCUGCUAAGAGCUUUACAACUGACAAGUUCAACUAUUUUAUGGGAAAGAUAGAGGAAAAGGAUCCUGGUGCACUUGCCUAGUUGGAUGACACUCAUCCAUAUGUGUAGAGUAGAAGCAAAUUCAAUGAAGAUUGCAAGGUAGAUUACAUCAACAACAACCUCUCUGAAUGCUUUAAUAGUUGGGUGUCGAAAUGCAAGGAUUAUCAAAUUGUAGAUAUGCAUGAUAGGAUAAGACAAAUGAUCAUUGAGAAAUUUAUUUUGAGAGCCAAGAUUGGUAGUAAAAUGUCUGGAGUACUCAUCCCUUUUAUUAUCAAGGCUCUAAAUGCUAAAUCCAAGACUAUCAAAGAUCAUGAUGUGCUAAUAUGUGAGGCUGGAACAGCUGAAGUAACCGUGAACGGAUUUAGGCAUGCAGUCAACUUGCAGCAAAAGAUAUGUAGUUGUAGGUUUGGCAAGUGACUGGAAAGCCCUGCAGCCAUGCUUUAGCUUUCAUUGCAAAGCUAAGUAGGGAUGUACAAAUGGAUGACUUUGUCCAUGAAUACUUUUCUGUUCACAGGUUUAGAAAGGCUUAUGCCUCUAUUUUCAAUCCAAUGACAUCUAAGGAUAGCUGGCCACGUGCUGAUUUAGGCUACAAAAUUAAGAAGCCCAAGUUGAGAAGGAAAUCUGGGAGACCAAGAAAAUCUAGGAUCAAGGUAUGAAGACAUGAAGCCCAAGUUGAGACACACUUCUAUUCCUAUCAUAUGAAGGAGAAGUGCAAGUGCAAGUGGAACAGGAAGGGGAAGGGGAAGGGGAGGAGGAAGGGCAAGUGGAACAGGGGGAGAAGAGGACGGGGAAGGGGGGGGGGGGGGGGGGGGGGGGGGCGGGGGAGCUAGAGGAAGAGGAAGCUCAAGGAGCUUGGCUGCAUUGUUGGGCAUAGAUGAUUGAAACUGAUGUCUGUCAUUUUGUUGGUGCUCGGCUGUACUAUUUGGUGCUUUUGUUGGAUAUGUAUGCUAAUAUGUGAUCUGGACAAGAUGUGAUGAUAUCUGGACAUGAUAGGAUAUGAUAUGGUGCUUUUAUUGGACAUACGUGUGUGUGCUGUUGCUUUCCAAUAUAUAUAUGACCUGGUGGUUUUGUUGGAUA